GACGGGUGAGUAACACGUGGGUAACCUGCCCAUAAGACUGGGAUAACUCCGGGAAACCGGGGCUAAUACCGGAUAACAUUUUGAACCGCAUGGUUCGAAAUUGAAAGGCGGCUUCGGCUGUCACUUAUGGAUGGACCCGCGUCGCAUUAGCUAGUUGGUGAGGUAACGGCUCACCAAGGCAACGAUGCGUAGCCGACCUGAGAGGGUGAUCGGCCACACUGGGACUGAGACACGGCCCAGACUCCUACGGGAGGCAGCAGUAGGGAAUCUUCCGCAAUGGACGAAAGUCUGACGGAGCAACGCCGCGUGAGUGAUGAAGGCUUUCGGGUCGUAAAACUCUGUUGUUAGGGAAGAACAAGUGCUAGUUGAAUAAGCUGGCACCUUGACGGUACCUAACCAGAAAGCCACGGCUAACUACGUGCCAGCAGCCGCGGUAAUACGUAGGUGGCAAGCGUUAUCCGGAAUUAUUGGGCGUAAAGCGCGCGCAGGUGGUUUCUUAAGUCUGAUGUGAAAGCCCACGGCUCAACCGUGGAGGGUCAUUGGAAACUGGGAGACUUGAGUGCAGAAGAGGAAAGUGGAAUUCCAUGUGUAGCGGUGAAAUGCGUAGAGAUAUGGAGGAACACCAGUGGCGAAGGCGACUUUCUGGUCUGUAACUGACACUGAGGCGCGAA
Molecule: ribosomal RNA, 671 nt
Filed under: Bacillus thuringiensis
Lineage: Bacteria; Bacillati; Bacillota; Bacilli; Caryophanales; Bacillaceae
Description: bacterial SSU rRNA
Rfam family: Bacterial small subunit ribosomal RNA
Source: RNAcentral